AGUGAACGCUGGCGGUAGGCCUAACACAUGCAAGUCGAACGGCAGCACAGUAAGAGCUUGCUCUUACGGGUGGCGAGUGGCGGACGGGUGAGGAAUACAUCGGAAUCUACUUUUUCGUGGGGGAUAACGUAGGGAAACUUACGCUAAUACCGCAUACGACCUACGGGUGAAAGCAGGGGGUCUUCGGACCUUGCGCGAUUGAAUGAGCCGAUGUCGGAUUAGCUAGUUGGCGGGGUAAAGGCCCACCAAGGCGACGAUCCGUAGCUGGUCUGAGAGGAUGAUCAGCCAAACUGGAACUGAGACACGGUCCAGACUCCUACGGGAGGCAGCAGUGGGGAAUAUUGGACAAUGGGCGCAAGCCUGAUCCAGCCAUACCGCGUGGGUGAAGAAGGCCUUCGGGUUGUAAAGCCCUUUUGUUGGGAAAGAAAAGCAGCAGGUUAAUACCCCGCUGUUCUGACAGUACCCAAAGAAUAAGCACCGGCUAACUUCGUG
RNAcentral lists this ribosomal RNA (492 nucleotides) under uncultured bacterium. RNAcentral describes it as "partial 16S ribosomal RNA". It matches the Rfam family "Bacterial small subunit ribosomal RNA", at positions 29 to 507 of the family's 1533-position model. The record is from RNAcentral.